Molecule: long non-coding RNA, 1124 nt
Filed under: Marmota monax (woodchuck)
Lineage: Eukaryota; Metazoa; Chordata; Mammalia; Rodentia; Sciuridae
Source: RNAcentral
GUUGUUGUUAGAGACUGAAUAUUCACUAAAAGUGGCUUACACCAGGGAUUCUCAAAAUUAACUGCACAUGAAAAUCACCAGGAAGCCCAGCUCCCAUUUGGUGAGACCUGAUUUCUUUGGUAGAGGGUGUGGCAGGGCUUUAAGUGUGUUUCCCACCUGCUGCCCAGGCUGAGAACUGUGGCUUCACACACUCACUUCCCCACAAGUCUGGAGAUGGCAUCUUAGGCAUGGGUGAAGCAUGCCGUAAUGUCAUCAAGGACUCCAGCUCUCACCAGCUUCCUCCUUAGUCAUUCUUAGACUGUUGCCAGUGUCUCCACUCAGACACAGGGGCUGGCAUAGCUCUGAGGGUAAAGAGUUCAUGUACAGCAGAAAAAGUGCCAGGCGCUGUGGCACAUGCCUGUAAUCCCAAUGGUACGGAGACUGAGGCAGGAGGAUCACAAGUUCAAAGCCAGCCUCAACAAAAGCAAGGUGCUAAGCAACUUAAUGAGACCUUGUCUCUAAAUAAAAUACGAAAUAGGGCUGGGAGUGUGGCUCAGUGGUUGAGUGCCCCUGAGUUCAAUCCCCAGUAAAGCCCCUGUCCAUCCCCAAAUACAACAGAGAAAGUGAGAUCAAAAUCAAUUCCCCAUACCGGGAGUUAAGAAUAGAAAUUAUCUCCCAUUCACUACAAAUGCUAAAUUAGGGGGUUUCAUUGCCAAUUGUAAGACAUCCCUAAUAGUUAUUCCCACCAUCCUCUCCCAUUGUGAAUAUCUUACACAACUGGAGUAUAAUAAUAAUAUCAAAACCAAGAAACUGACGUUGGUACAAUUCAUAGAACUUAUUCAGAUUUUACCAUUUCAGUCUCAUUUGUGUGUGUGUGUGGUGGGGCGGGGUAACAUAAUCACACAUAGCCUGUGAAACCACCGCAGUAAUCAAGACACUCAACUGGACCAUCCUUACAUGGCUCCCUCUUGUCACCCCUUCAGAGCCAUGUCUCUCCUCUCUUCAACUCCAAUAACCAUUAAUCUGUUUUCUGUCAUGCCGCAGUCCGGCUGCAGCAAAAUAACCGGGGGGUGACGAACAACUUGUGUACAUUGAUACAGCAGGAGUGGGAGCCGUUUAUUGUCGGACAGGAGGGGUAUGUAUAC